CAUAUUUUCUUCCCUCUUCCCUUGAUCUGAGCCUUCUUUUAAUCUGGUUUCUUCCAAGUUCUCUUUCUUCUUUCUGAGCCUCUCUGCUACUAACUCCCUUCCUGCCCUCUCUCUUUCCCUCUUUUCCUCAUUAUCACCUUUAUCUCUGUAAACUUCCAUCCAUUCUCCUCCCUUUCUUCCCAUCCUUCUUUUCCCCAAGUUGAGACAACACAAGGACAAGAGGCAGCAGGGAGGCUCAUGGCCAGGAUUCUUGGUUUUCUUACCCAUCACCUUGGUGGAGCAUAGAGUUGGUCAUGCAUUCUUCCUUCCUAAUUUAGAGUUGGCGUAAUUGCAGGGCAGAAACUCCCUUCCCUGGGUCCUUUUCAGAAACAAUUUUCAAGACAAACCCAAACAUCGAAUACCUUCUCCACCUGCUUGCUAAUAUCUAGAAUUCCUCCAACAGAGGACAUUACAUUCCACAAUCAAAGACCAAGUUUCAAACCUAAAUAAUAAACAGUUCACAUCUGGGCAGCUCUUAACAGUUUUCCAAACACAUCCAGCUGUUUUCAACCAGUUCCCUCAUUUGACCCUCACCAUAAUCUGGAGAUGGAAGCAUUAUUAUACUAUCAUCUGCACUUUGAAGUGAGAAACGUGAGGUUCAGAGAUAUUAAGUAGCUUUGCAAAGGUUGAUCUAAUCAAUUGUGUCUGAGUCUAACUUCCAUGUUUUUCUCCACCCCACAUCACUUCUCUGAGCAGGAACCACAGUGAUCUGACAUGAAGGGAAACUUUCCUCUAAUUUCUUCAGCUCCAAGACGGCUCCCAAUUCCUGUGUCUCUGACAUCUUUGAGAUCCUUGUGAUUGUUGCUAUUGAAGCCCAUCAGUGGGGUAUGUUACCACUGGAUGGCAUAUGAUACCCUGGUUUCAUGGAGCCCUGCUUGCCAAAUGGAAGAAAGGAACCAAUGCUGACUGGAGAUCUCACUGGAUGCUUUUCCACCAACUUUUUGUUCAGCCUAUGGUUAGGAAUAAUCUCACUAUUUUAGAUGAAAAAUUUGAAGUUUAGAUAGGCUGUGUUUUGUCUGCUAAUGUACAAGGAGGAGGGAUAGUAAUUGUGGUGAUAACUGUGUAUCGUGUGCUUCCCAUGAGCCAGGUUCCAGGCUGGGUGCAUCUAUGAAGAAUCCCUUUCAAUCCUCACAACAGCCUAUGAUUCCAACAAUUUUUACUCUUACUCUUUUUUUUUAUGAGUAUAGUUGAUUUACAGUGUUGUGUCAAUUUUUGCUGUACAUUAUAGGGACCCAGUCAUACACACAUACAUAUGUGUGUGUAUAUAUAUAUGUAUGUAUGAAUAAUAUAUAUAUAUAUUCUUUUUCUCAUACUAUCUUCUAUCAUGUUCUGCCCA
This 1375-nucleotide long non-coding RNA is filed under the name Sus scrofa (pig). Its description in RNAcentral is "lncRNA (ENSSSCG00070009316.1)". Lineage: Eukaryota; Metazoa; Chordata; Mammalia; Artiodactyla; Suidae. The record is from RNAcentral.